This 99-nucleotide small nuclear RNA is filed under the name Suricata suricatta (meerkat). Lineage: Eukaryota; Metazoa; Chordata; Mammalia; Carnivora; Herpestidae. The record is from RNAcentral.
UGCUUGCUUCAGCAGCAAUAUACUAAAGCUGAAAUGAGAAGAUUAGCACGGUUUCUCCACUAGGACGCCAUGCGAAUUCAUGAAGCAUUCCAUAUUUUU